Molecule: long non-coding RNA, 283 nt
Organism: Anguilla anguilla (European eel)
Lineage: Eukaryota; Metazoa; Chordata; Actinopteri; Anguilliformes; Anguillidae
Exons: 3
Source: RefSeq, a predicted model, not a curated record
UCUCCUAGGGUGGUGUAAAGACUAGAGCUGGCCACAGCGAUUAAUUCAUUGCUAUCUGAGGUCACGGUUUUGUGUCGUAGUAGUCAUGCCCUGCAGAAGAUAAUCUUCAGCUCUGCAUCAGUCCUGACGUUCUGAAAGAGGAACGCAGCACUGACCCGUGCAAACCAUACGCACUUCUCAAAAGCAAGACGACAACUUCAAGAUCCUGCAGAUACAGAGCUCAUGGGUUCCUUCAGGAGAUCAUCUGUUCUUUGCAGUGUCAUUCAAGGUCUGGCAGUUUGGA